Molecule: long non-coding RNA, 624 nt
Filed under: Astyanax mexicanus (Mexican tetra)
Lineage: Eukaryota; Metazoa; Chordata; Actinopteri; Characiformes; Acestrorhamphidae
Description: lncRNA (ENSAMXG00005020509.1)
Source: RNAcentral
UGUUAAACAAUAAACAGCAACAUUUGUCUCAGAUUCAUGGAUUUUGUGUGUUUUUUCAUCUAUUUAGGGUGAAUUGGGCUUUCCUGGCCCUAAAGGACAAGAGGGACCACCUGGGAAAGGACUUUCUGGAGAGAAGGGGGAUCGAGGAGAGAGAGGAACUAGAGGACUUCCAGGACCCAAGGGACCAGCGGGUCCAGUUGGGGCCAAGGUGAGAAAUUACCAAAAAAAAAAAAAAACUCCAAAACAAUUUAAGCAAUAAGUUAAAUAUGAAAAUUUAAGCUAUAAUUAAUUAAUAAUAUCAAGGAGGAAGAAUUAAAAUUAAAGCUUCAUGGUUUAUUUGUUGUUUCAGGGAAAGCCGGGGGGGGUUGGGCCUCCAGGAAUGAUUGGUGCCCCAGGGAGGGGUAUACCAGGGCCAAAGGGGGAUCCUGGACAACCUGGAGCUCCAGGACCUGUUGGAGAAACAGGGAUAGGGAUCCCUGGACCGAAGGUCAGUUUUACAGUAUUUUUUAUAAACGCUUCAAUCUGUUUAAACACCAAACUAAAAAAACAAGCUCCUCAACAAGUCCUAGAGGGUCACAUUAGUAAAGUCAAUCUAAACAGACUUCUGAAAAUGUUAAACAAAAA